GCGAAAAGCAUUUGUCCAAGGGACUGUUUUUCAUAAUCAGGGAACGAAAAGUUUAUGGUGGAUCGAAGGCGAUCAGAAUACCGUUGUAGUCUUAACCAUAAACUAUGCCGACUAGGGAUCGGACGAUGUUAUUUUUUGACUCGUUCGGCACCUUACGAGAAAUCAAAGUGCUUGGGCUCCAGGGGGAGUAUGGUCGCAAGGCUGAAACUUAAAGAAAUUGACGGAAGGGCACCACCAGGGGUGGAGCCUGCGGCUUAAUUUGACUCAACACGGGGAAACUCACCAGGUCCAGACACAAUGAGGAUUGACAGAUUGAGAGCUCUUUCUUGAUUUUGUGGUGGUGGUGCAUGGCCGUUCUUAGUUGGUGGAGUGAUUUGUCCUGCUUAAUUGCGAUAACGAACGAGACCUUAACCUGCUAAAUAGCCCGUAUUGCUUUGGCAGUACGCUGGCUUCUUAGAGGGACUAUCGGCUCAAGCCGAUGGAAGUUUGAGGCAAUAACAGGUCUGUGAUGCCUUAGAUGUUUGGGCCGCACGCGCGUACACUGACUGAGCCAGCGAGUACUCCCUUGACCGGAAGGUCCGGGUAAUCUUGUUAAACUCAGUCGUGUCUGGGGA
This 614-nucleotide ribosomal RNA is filed under the name uncultured eukaryote. Its description in RNAcentral is "SSU rRNA". It matches the Rfam family "Eukaryotic small subunit ribosomal RNA", at positions 945 to 1577 of the family's 1831-position model. The record is from RNAcentral.